Long non-coding RNA from Oncorhynchus tshawytscha (Chinook salmon), 150 nucleotides. RefSeq lists it as uncharacterized. The record is from RefSeq and is a predicted model, not a curated record. NCBI's taxonomy places the organism in Eukaryota, Metazoa, Chordata, Actinopteri, Salmoniformes, Salmonidae. The transcript has 3 exons.
AGUAUGGCGCUGUGUUCUGUUGCUUUUAUUCUUGCUUUUUGCAUUUAGCCAAUUUAACACCCUUGUUUUACCUGAAGAGGAAUAUCACUUCAAACACUGGAUGUUACAGUAUAAUAAAGUCUAUGCUCUGGAGGAGUACCACCAUAGGCU